This 73-nucleotide transfer RNA is filed under the name Stegodyphus mimosarum. It matches the Rfam family "tRNA". Rfam says of the family: Transfer RNA (tRNA) molecules are approximately 80 nucleotides in length. Their secondary structure includes four short double-helical elements and three loops (D, anti-codon, and T loops). The record is from Rfam by way of RNAcentral. Lineage: Eukaryota; Metazoa; Arthropoda; Arachnida; Araneae; Eresidae.
GCCUUCGUGGUGUAGUGGUCAGCACACUCAACGGGCAACCGAGAGGUCCAUGGUUCGAUUCCCGGCAAAGGCG